RNAcentral lists this RNase P RNA (408 nucleotides) under Thioclava indica. RNAcentral's name for it is "Bacterial RNase P class A". It matches the Rfam family "Bacterial RNase P class A". Rfam says of the family: Ribonuclease P (RNase P) is a ubiquitous endoribonuclease, found in archaea, bacteria and eukarya as well as chloroplasts and mitochondria. Its best characterised activity is the generation of mature 5'-ends of tRNAs by cleaving the 5'-leader elements of precursor-tRNAs. Cellular RNase Ps are ribonucleoproteins. Lineage: Bacteria; Pseudomonadati; Pseudomonadota; Alphaproteobacteria; Rhodobacterales; Paracoccaceae. The record is from Rfam by way of RNAcentral.
GCGGAUGGCCGGAUGACCGCGAGUGCCCAUAGCUCCGUUUUGCGGACAGCUGGGUGCCCGAGGAAAGUCCGGACUCCAUGAAGUGACGGUGCCGGGUAACGCCCGGGCGGGGCAACCCGACGGAAAGCGCCACAGAAAACAAACCGCCGUGCCUUGGUGCGGUAAGGGUGAAACGGUGGGGUAAGAGCCCACCGCGGGGCUGGUAACAGACCUGGCAUGGCAAGCCCCACCGGGAGCAACGCCGAAUAGGGAUCGUGCGCCGCCCCGGCAAUGGGUGACGGCAGGGGAACUUCGCCCCGAGCGAUCCGGGUUGGCGGCUGGACCCUGCGAGCAAUCGUAGGGCGAGAGGAAUGGUCAUCCAGAGGGGCAACCCUUGGACAGAAUCCGGCUUACAGGCCAUCCGCGCGU